GUGAGGAAUUUUCCGCAAUGGGCGAAAGCCUGACGGAGCAAUGCCGCGUGAAGGAUGAAGGCCUAUGGGUUGUAAACUUCUUUUCUCAGAAAAGAAUUAUGACGGUAUCUGAGGAAUAAGCAUCGGCUAACUCUGUGCCAGCAGCCGCGGUAAGACAGAGGAUGCAAGCGUUAUCCGGAAUGAUUGGGCGUAAAGCGUCUGUAGGUUGUUUAAAAAGUAUUCUGUCAAAGAUUAGGGCUUAACCCUAGAUAGGCAGAAUAAACUUUUAAGCUAGAGUUUGGUAGAGGCAGAGGGAAUUCCCGGUGGAGCGGUGAAAUGCGUAGAUAUCGGGAGGAACACCAAAGGCGAAGGCACUCUGCUGGGACAAUACUAACACUGAGAGACGAAAGCGAGGGGAGCAAAUGGGAUUAGAUACCCCGGUAGUCC
RNAcentral lists this ribosomal RNA (426 nucleotides) under uncultured bacterium. RNAcentral's name for it is "partial 16S ribosomal RNA". It matches the Rfam family "Bacterial small subunit ribosomal RNA", at positions 354 to 796 of the family's 1533-position model. The record is from RNAcentral.